CUUGGUAGCUGUGAAGAAAACAGAAGAAAACAAAAUCCCACAGUUUCUGAGUCCCACAUCCAGAGAUCCUGAUUUCAUUGGUCUGGAGGGAAUUUGGGAGCGGGGAUGGGGUUAAGAGACUGUGCUGUCAGGAAACUGGUAUGAAUGCGGAUCCAGAGCCGCCUCACAGCUUUUCAAGACAAAAGCUGAGCAAAGAUGGGGAAAACAGAAGGUGGACUGUGUCUCUUGUUCUGGGCUACUGUCAGGGCUGAGCAGAGCCAGUUUAUGUCCCUGUGGGGGCCGUCCACAGAGUGCUGCCACCGAGCGGCCUGGGGCAGCUGUGGACCCAGGAUCUGGAUAAGAUGAUCUCAUCAGAAGAGCUGGAACAGAAUCCAGCCACUCUGGACUGCACACCAUCGCCUCUUCCCUCUCCUGCACUGGGUUGGGUCCUGGUUGCAGCAUGUGGGAUCUUCGAUCUUCGUUGUGGC
This is a long non-coding RNA of Bubalus bubalis (water buffalo), 467 nucleotides long. RefSeq lists it as uncharacterized. NCBI's taxonomy places the organism in Eukaryota, Metazoa, Chordata, Mammalia, Artiodactyla, Bovidae. The record is from RefSeq and is a predicted model, not a curated record. The transcript is spliced from 3 exons.